RNAcentral lists this long non-coding RNA (506 nucleotides) under Manihot esculenta (cassava). RNAcentral describes it as "long non-coding RNA (MESC_LNC009212)". Lineage: Eukaryota; Viridiplantae; Streptophyta; Magnoliopsida; Malpighiales; Euphorbiaceae. The record is from RNAcentral.
AAUAAGAUGAUGUUUGAUAGGAUUAGUGUUAAUACUCUAAGAUGGAAAAAGCUAGAUAUAUUAGCUACCAUGGUUGCUUAGGAUGCAUUAAAAGAUAUUUAUGAACUUGAGGUAGAUGACUAUAUUUUCAGGAGUUUUAAAAUAUAAUUUUAUCCAGGUUAUUAUUGAUCUUCAAACAAAGUUAAAUGACAGUCAGGCUCAUCUUCAGGCCUUACAAGCAUCUUAUGCUUCUUUGGCUAGCAAGUUUAAAAAACUGAAGAACUACUAAAAGUUAACUAGGUUGCUGAAGAGUAUUAAGCACUUUGUGUUUGAUUUGGUCAAUGACAACCUGCUUUAAAAGCUAUGUGUUUAUGUUCUAUUUGAAUUGUUUCUAUCUCUUUUUUGGAGAUUGCUACUGAACUCUUUAUUUUUCUUACUCAUUGUGUUUUUAGUUUUCCUUUAUUUUCCUUUUUCUGUAUUGCUUUUGAUUUAAAUGUACUUUUUAUAUUUUUUAUCUGCAAUCUAAG